Molecule: ribosomal RNA, 823 nt
Filed under: Escherichia coli
Lineage: Bacteria; Pseudomonadati; Pseudomonadota; Gammaproteobacteria; Enterobacterales; Enterobacteriaceae
Description: bacterial SSU rRNA
Rfam family: Bacterial small subunit ribosomal RNA
Source: RNAcentral
GGUGAUUUUCGAGCUCCAAUACAGCGCCGCGCUAACGUGCGUGAAUUGUUUCGUCGGAUGUAUAAUCCCCGGGCUCACCUGGGAACUGCAUCUGAUACUGGCAAGCUUGAGUCUCGUAGAGGGGGGUAGAAUUCCAGGUGUAGCGGUGAAAUGCGUAGAGAUCUGGAGGAAUACCGGUGGCGAAGGCGGCCCCCUGGACGAAGACUGACGCUCAGGUGCGAAAGCGUGGGGAGCAAACAGGAUUAGAUACCCUGGUAGUCCACGCCGUAAACGAUGUCGACUUGGAGGUUGUGCCCUUGAGGCGUGGCUUCCGGAGCUAACGCGUUAAGUCGACCGCCUGGGGAGUACGGCCGCAAGGUUAAAACUCAAAUGAAUUGACGGGGGCCCGCACAAGCGGUGGAGCAUGUGGUUUAAUUCGAUGCAACGCGAAGAACCUUACCUGGUCUUGACAUCCACAGAACUUUCCAGAGAUGGAUUGGUGCCUUCGGGAACUGUGAGACAGGUGCUGCAUGGCUGUCGUCAGCUCGUGUUGUGAAAUGUUGGUUAAGUCCCGCAACGAGCGCACCCUUAUCUUUGUUGCCAGCGGUCCGGCGGGAAUCAAGGAGACUGCCAGUGAUAACUGGAGGAAGGUGGGAUGACGUCAGUCAUCAUGGCCCUUACGACAGGGCUACACAGUGCUACAAUGGCGCAACAAGAGAAGCGACCUCGCAGAACAAGGGACCUAUAAGUGCGUCGUAUCCGGAUGGAAUCUGCACUCGACUCCAUGAGUCGGAUCGCUAGUAAUCGUAGAUCAAAUGCACGGUGAUACUCCCCCGGUAUAUAA